This 200-nucleotide ribosomal RNA is filed under the name Ureaplasma parvum serovar 3. RNAcentral's name for it is "partial 23S ribosomal RNA". It matches the Rfam family "Bacterial large subunit ribosomal RNA", at positions 2527 to 2726 of the family's 2925-position model. Lineage: Bacteria; Bacillati; Mycoplasmatota; Mycoplasmoidales; Mycoplasmoidaceae. The record is from RNAcentral.
CGAUGUCGGCUCAUCACAUCCUGGGGCUGAAGCCGGUCCCAAGGGUAUGGCUGUUCGCCAUUUAAAGUGGUACGCGAGCUGGGUUUAGAACGUCGUGAGACAGUUCGGUCCCUAUCUGCCGUGGACGUUUGAGAUUUGAGAGGGGCUGCUCCUAGUACGAGAGGACCGGAGUGGACGAACCUCUGGUGUUCCGGUUGUCA